This 253-nucleotide ribosomal RNA is filed under the name uncultured bacterium. RNAcentral's name for it is "partial 16S ribosomal RNA". It matches the Rfam family "Bacterial small subunit ribosomal RNA", at positions 524 to 776 of the family's 1533-position model. The record is from RNAcentral.
UACGUAGGGGGCAAGCGUUGUCCGGAAUCAUUGGGCGUAAAGAGCGUGUAGGCGGCCCGGUAAGUCCGCUGUGAAAGUCCAGGGCUCAACCCUGGGAUGCCGGUGGAUACUGUCGGGCUCGAGUCCGGAAGAGGCGAGUGGAAUUCCUGGUGUAGCGGUGAAAUGCGCGGAUAUCAGGAAGAACACCCGUGGCGAAGGCGGUUCUCUGGGACGGUACUGACGCUGAGACGCGAAAGCGUGGGGAGCGAACAGG